UCUUACUGAGUUACUAACUUGUAUGGAGGAUACCCAGGCCUUUCUCAAGAAACUUUCCAACAAAAUGUGGAUUAAAAAGUUUCUACAGAAAAAAAACAAUAUGUGAUAAGUUUGACGGCUUAUACAACAGAUUAUUGACCUUCGGACAGAGCCUAAUUAUAUCACUUCAGACGGAAUUCAGCUCGUACAUCUCUGUCGAUAUGGUAAAACAAUGGGAGGCCAAUUUCAGUGCUCUCAAAUUAUUGCAAGAUGAUGUGAAAGAUCUGAAACAAGACUCCAAAAGUCUAGCUGAAAAUGUAGAACAGCUGACAAAGUUCAUGGUUAGCAAACUAAAGUUCCUGCAGCAACUAAAACACCUACGGAGAGAUGG
Strongylocentrotus purpuratus (purple sea urchin) is the source of this 370-nucleotide long non-coding RNA. RefSeq lists it as uncharacterized. The record is from RefSeq and is a predicted model, not a curated record. NCBI's taxonomy places the organism in Eukaryota, Metazoa, Echinodermata, Echinoidea, Camarodonta, Strongylocentrotidae. The transcript is spliced from 3 exons.